Molecule: unclassified non-coding RNA, 214 nt
Filed under: Hevea brasiliensis (rubber tree)
Lineage: Eukaryota; Viridiplantae; Streptophyta; Magnoliopsida; Malpighiales; Euphorbiaceae
Source: RNAcentral
AUUUCUUUCCACUCUUCUUGAGACCAGAGCCUCCUAAGGCCCCCUUCUGUGCUGCCUUAGCUUUCAACUCCUUUAGUGCCUUUUCCUCCUCUUUCUUCUUCUGAAGAUUAGCUAGAUCAUUCUCAUCGUAUUCCUUCUUCUCGACCUUGGCCGCCUUCAGAGGCUUCGCCUUCCCACCUUGCUUGGACGACAUGGCUGCUGGGAUUGACGGUGG